AUUGAACGCUGGCGGCAGGCUUAACACAUGCAAGUCGAGCGGGGUGAUGGUGCUUGCACUAUCACUUAGCGGCGGACGGGUGAGUAAUGCUUAGGAAUCUGCCUAUUAGUGGGGGACAACAUCUCGAAAGGGAUGCUAAUACCGCAUACGUCCUACGGGAGAAAGCAGGGGAUCACUUGUGACCUUGCGCUAAUAGAUGAGCCUAAGUCGGCUUAGCUAGUUGGUGGGGUAAAGGCCUACCAAGGCGACGAUCUGUAGCGGGUCUGAGAGGACGAUCCGCCACACGGGGACUGAGACACGGCCCAGACUCCUACGGGAGGCAGCAGUGGGGAAUAUUGGACAAUGGGGGGAACCCUGAUCCAGCCAGGCCGCGUGUGUGAAGAAGGCCUUAUGGUUGUAAAGCACUUUAAGCGAGGAGGAGGCUCUUUUGGUUAAUACCCAAGAUGAGUGGACGUUACUCGCAGAAUAAGCACCGGCUAACUCUGUGCCAGCAGCCGCCGUAA
RNAcentral lists this ribosomal RNA (503 nucleotides) under uncultured bacterium. RNAcentral's name for it is "partial 16S ribosomal RNA". It matches the Rfam family "Bacterial small subunit ribosomal RNA", at positions 30 to 523 of the family's 1533-position model. The record is from RNAcentral.